RNAcentral lists this ribosomal RNA (253 nucleotides) under uncultured bacterium. RNAcentral describes it as "partial 16S ribosomal RNA". It matches the Rfam family "Bacterial small subunit ribosomal RNA", at positions 524 to 776 of the family's 1533-position model. The record is from RNAcentral.
GACGAAGGGGGCUAGCGUUGUUCGGAAUUACUGGGCGUAAAGGGCUCGUAGGCGGCCAACUAAGUCGGACGUGAAAUCCCUCGGCUUAACCGGGGAACUGCGUCCGAUACUGGAUGGCUUGAGUUCGGGAGAGGGAUGCGGAAUUCCAGGUGUAGCGGUGAAAUGCGUAGAUAUCUGGAGGAACACCGGUGGCGAAGGCGGCAUCCUGGACCGGUAUUGACGCUGAGGAGCGAAAGCCAGGGGAGCAAACGGG